GUCAGCUGCUACCAAGUAAAGACCAGGACAAGGGCAGCAGGGACAUGGAGAACCGAGGGACAAGUGUAGUGAAGGCAUGGAGGACAGAGGGACUAAGGUGGCAGGGACAUGGAGAAGAGAGGGACAAGGGUGGCAGGGAUAAAGUCAAGAGUCACAAGCCUUGCAUUCUCAUUGCUGUCGGCUUCCAGUUUGGUAGCUGUUUUGCUGUUGCUAUGCUGUUUUAAGACAACAUCCCACUGUUUAAUCCAGCUGGCCAGGAACUUGCAAUCUUCCUGCCUCAAUCUCCUGACAUACUGGAAUUCAGAAAACUUUUAAAGAAGUAAGCACAUAUCGUGGCCGACACACGCGGCAAUCCAGUCUCCCGCUCCCGCAAUCUUAGAUGGAGAGGAAAGGAAGACCCGUCGUGGUGGCCGCUAGGGACUUCAUCAAAAGGAAAACCCGAGCAUUUCCCAUCAACAACCUCAGUCGUGGCGGGGAGGCCUGCUUGCAGUGAAAGCAAAACUGGAUUCCGAGGAGACCAACAGAUUUUUACAGUUGUAUUUUGUCAAGACUCGAUGAAGAUAAGGAUCUUCAAAACCUGUCUUUCAUAGAAUCAUCCGCAAUCCACAGAGAAUAUCCCAAAUAUUUACAUUUAUGUAUAUGCAUACACGAAUUUUAAAUAAACAUGCCAAAAAAACCCAGUAA
Long non-coding RNA from Mesocricetus auratus (golden hamster), 684 nucleotides. RefSeq lists it as uncharacterized. The record is from RefSeq and is a predicted model, not a curated record. Lineage: Eukaryota; Metazoa; Chordata; Mammalia; Rodentia; Cricetidae. The transcript has 3 exons.